Molecule: long non-coding RNA, 653 nt
Filed under: Dromaius novaehollandiae (emu)
Lineage: Eukaryota; Metazoa; Chordata; Aves; Casuariiformes; Dromaiidae
Description: lncRNA (ENSDNVG00000000341.1)
Source: RNAcentral
UAGCCGUCUCAUUUACCCAAUGGGUCGGCCCUCCUCCUUUUGUUUCCGCCCCCAAAGAGCCGUUACAGUAUGAUUUUGCGGUAUAAUCAAACCCCGGUGUGCUUGAGGACACAUUGGUCCACCCGGUCCAGUUAAGGUUUCUAUAGACAUUUAUCCCUUGUUGAUUAUUCCCAAAGUGCACGCAUGCUGCACCGGUGUAGUUAAUUGGUGCUACCAAACCCAGAAGGUCAAGCUCUUGCGGGUCCCAGGGCAAUGAUGCAUUCAGCGUGUCAAUGCUCUCUCAGCUUUGGUAGGUCUACGGUCAAAUUCAAUGGGACCCCUAUUAAGCAUGUCUGGUUCGCCUUUCACCCCUUGGAGUCCCAGUCCCAGCAUCGCUACGAGGAGAGCUACUUGGGUYGCUCCCCCUGCCAUCUUCUCGGGUUUUCUGGUUACGCGUUCUUCUUGUGGUUUCACGCGCCUUUUCUCAUCUGUUCUUCUUCUCCUGUCUGCUGUCUUUGCUGCUAGGAGGGAUCAUCRGCYWUUCAGGGUGGUCCUCCCCUGCAAUAAAGCUCAGACAUUCAUUAAUUCAUCUGACUCUCUGCUUCCUGUCUUGUCCUUCCCCUGAGGUCUGGGCGCACCCACUUUGCAGGGACCCAUCUUACCACUUCUCCCUG